This 402-nucleotide ribosomal RNA is filed under the name bacterium. RNAcentral describes it as "partial 16S ribosomal RNA". It matches the Rfam family "Bacterial small subunit ribosomal RNA", at positions 355 to 776 of the family's 1533-position model. The record is from RNAcentral.
UGGGGAAUUUUGCACAAUGGGGGAAACCCUGAUGCAGCGACGCCGCGUGAUUUAGAAGGCCUUCGGGUUGUAAAAAUCUUUUCUAUGGGAAGAAAAUGACAGUAUCAUAGGAAUAAGGACCGGCUAAUUACGUGCCAGCAGCCGCGGUAAUACGUAAGGUCCGAGCGUUGUCCGGAAUCAUUGGGCGUAAAGGGUACGUAGGCGGGUAAGCAAGAUAGAAGUGAAAUCCUAUAGCUCAACUAUAGUAAGCUUUUAAAACUGAUCAUAUUGAGGUAUGGAAGGGAAGGUGUAAGUCCUAGUGUAGCGGUGAAAUGCGCAGAUAGUAGGAGGAAUACCGGUGGCGAAGGCGACUUUCUGGCCAUAACCUGACGCUGAGGUACGAAAGCGUGGGUAGCAAACAGG